GAGGCUCAACCUCGGAACUGCCGUUGAUACUAUGUGUCUUGAAUAUCGUGGAGGUAAGCGGAAUAUGUCAUGUAGCGGUGAAAUGCUUAGAUAUGACAUAGAACACCGAUUGCGAAGGCAGCUUACUACACGAUCAUUGACGCUGAGGCACGAAAGCGUGGGGAGCAAACAG
This 172-nucleotide ribosomal RNA is filed under the name uncultured bacterium. Its description in RNAcentral is "partial 16S ribosomal RNA". It matches the Rfam family "Bacterial small subunit ribosomal RNA", at positions 604 to 775 of the family's 1533-position model. The record is from RNAcentral.